GAAUCAGAAUGUCGCGGUGAAUACGUUCCCGGGCCUUGUACACACCGCCCGUCACACCAUGAGAGCUGGUAACACCCGAAGUCCGUGAGGUAACCGUAAGGAACCAGCGGCCGAAGGUGGGAUUAGUAAUUGGGGUGAAGUCGUAACAAGGUAGCCGUAGGAGAACCUGCGGCUGGAUCACCUCCUUUCUAAGGAGA
Molecule: ribosomal RNA, 197 nt
Filed under: Clostridium botulinum
Lineage: Bacteria; Bacillati; Bacillota; Clostridia; Eubacteriales; Clostridiaceae
Description: partial 16S ribosomal RNA
Rfam family: Bacterial small subunit ribosomal RNA
Source: RNAcentral